Molecule: ribosomal RNA, 253 nt
Filed under: uncultured bacterium
Lineage: Bacteria
Description: partial 16S ribosomal RNA
Rfam family: Bacterial small subunit ribosomal RNA
Source: RNAcentral
UACGUAGGGUGCGAGCGUUAAUCGGAAUUACUGGGCGUAAAGGGUGCGCAGGCGGCUUCGCAAGUCGAGUGUGAAAUCCCCGAGCUUAACUUGGGAAUUGCGCUCGAAACUACGGAGCUGGAGUGUGGCAGAGGAAGGUGGAAUUCCACGUGUAGCGGUGAAAUGCGUAGAGAUGUGGAGGAACACCGAUGGCGAAGGCAGCCUUCUGGGCCAACACUGACGCUCAUGCACGAAAGCGUGGGGAGCAAACAGG